AACGAACGCUGGCGGCAUGCCUAACACAUGCAAGUCGAACGAGACCUUCGGGUCUAGUGGCGCACGGGUGCGUAACGCGUGGGAACCUACCCUUAGGUUCGGAACAACUCCGCGAAAGGGGUGCUAAUACCGCAUAAUGUCUUCGGACCAAAGAUUCAUCGCCUCUGGAGGGGCCCGCGUUGGAUUAGCUAGUUGGUAGGGUAAAAGCCUACCAAGGCGAUGAUCCAUAGCUGGUCUGAGAGGAUGAUCAGCCACACUGGGACUGAGACACGGCCCAGACUCCUACGGGAGGCAGCAGUGGGGAAUAUUGGACAAUGGGCGAAAGCCUGAUCCAGCAAUGCCGCGUGAGUGAUGAAGGUCUUAGGAUUGUAAAGCACUUUUGACCGGGAUGAUAAUGACAGUACCGGGAGAAUAAGCCCCGGCUAACUCCGUG
RNAcentral lists this ribosomal RNA (433 nucleotides) under uncultured bacterium. RNAcentral's name for it is "partial 16S ribosomal RNA". It matches the Rfam family "Bacterial small subunit ribosomal RNA", at positions 29 to 507 of the family's 1533-position model. The record is from RNAcentral.